This is a long non-coding RNA of Camelus dromedarius (Arabian camel), 1650 nucleotides long. RefSeq lists it as uncharacterized. The record is from RefSeq and is a predicted model, not a curated record. The transcript has 3 exons. Lineage: Eukaryota; Metazoa; Chordata; Mammalia; Artiodactyla; Camelidae.
AACACGAAAAGGGGGGUGGUGGUCACAUGUGAUGGGGGAACAUCCAGAGGGCUUCCUGGAGGCGGCGACUUUUAACAGGGGAUUUUAGCUGGGGUUUGGGAGACAAUGGGGACUGGAUGAAGAGCAUAAGGUCCUUACAACACAGCCUGCCUGUAAUGCGCCUGAGUGGGGAGGCGGUCAGGGCCAGAGGCGUCCGUCUGGGGGUCAUGGCUGAAGCUGGUGGUGGAGGUGAGGCCAGUCUCUCCUCUCCCCACAGGAGACUGGGAUGAGGGAAGAGGAGUUCCCCGUGUGCUGUCUAAUCCCCUGCCUUGGUGGACGAGGAGAGAAAGUAGCCUGGAGAAGCACCCCUUUAGGAGGGGAGCUUAGUGCGUGCCACGUGCUGCCCCUGAGGUCAGAUGGGGGAGGAACUGAAGGUUGGCCGUGAGGAUCUUUUUAGGAGGUCAGGUUGAAAAGGAACCGGAAGAAAGAAAGAAGUCAAUUCCAUGUGACAAACAGCCAGCCCCCUGCAAGCAGUGGUCUGCUGCAGAGAGAAAUCGUGCGGGCAGUCUGCUGUUAACACAUUCACCUCGUGCAAGCGUCACCGCUCUCUGCCUAGUUCCAGAACAUCUUUACCACCUUGAAAGGAAACCCCAUGCCCCUUAAGCAGCCCCUCCCCACCCCCCGCCGCCUUGGCAACCACCACCCUCUGUCUCCAUAGACUGGUUUUUAAUCGGUGCAAUUCUGUGUGACUUUGAAGGAAAGAAACAGAAGCAUGUGGAGGUACUUACCGGAUGCAGGGGCGGCCGGUGCCUGGCUGUCCCUGUGCAGGAGAGGCAGGAGCUGCAGUAGCUUGGAUCCUGGCCGCCCUCUCCUCAUCCUUUCUCCUUUCCUGGGGUCUCCACCUGUGUUCCCGCCACUCCCUCCUCUCUCCCUUUGCAAACGGCCCCCAGUAGAUAGCUUUCCAGCCCGCAAGUCUGCGCAGCCUGACCUCCGAGCUGCUGGGCCGUCCAGCAGGAGGGUUCCUGCCUCCUUGCCACCAGGGGAAUUCCAACAGCCCAGCCCACUCUGGAGCUGCUGCAUUUACGUCAGGUUCCUCCUGGCCCGAGCACCUGCGAGCCAGGUAGGAUAGGGAACGCCCCAGAAAGGGAUGGGUUGAAAGUCGCAGGAACUGACAUCUUUGGAACCAUCUGAGCGAUGCUUAGCAUGCCUCUGGCAAAGAGAUUUCCUAGGAGAAGCUGCUCUUUCUGAUGGUGGAAUCUGAGAGAAAUGGCCCCAGUCCUCCCCCAGAGAGGGGGCACUGUGAUGGAGGAGUCAGCCGUCUCAACAUUACCUUACAGUAGACACUGCUGUGUGUUCCUCUGAGCCACGUCCUAAAAAUGUUCCAAAUAAAAGGUUCUCUCUCCAAGGAUCUGGUGUAAUCUCAGGAUGAAACUGAGAGCGCUGAGAGCUGUGCUGUCCAGGACAGCAGCCCCUGGCUGCGUGUGGCUCUUGGUUACUUGAAAUGUGGCCAGUCCACACUGAGGCGCAGGAAGGCCAGAAUGCACACUGGAUGCCGAAGACUUUGCACGGAAAGAAAAAGACUAUAAAACAUCUCAAAGAUUUUAUUAUUGAUUACAUGUUGAAUUAAUAAUAUUUUAGCUCUCGGGUUAAGUAAAAGGCAUUACAAUUAAA